CGGAACGAUGGGAGCUUGCUCCCAGGCGUCGAGCGGCGGACGGGUGAGUAACACUUAGGAAUCUACCUAGUAGUGGGGGAUAGCUCGAGGAAACUCGAAUUAAUACCGCAUACGUCCUACGGGAGAAAGGGGGCAACUUGUUGCUCUCGCUAUUAGAUGAGCCUAAGUCGGAUUAGCUAGUUGGUGGGGUAAAGGCCUACCAAGGCGACGAUCUGUAGCUGGUCUGAGAGGAUGAUCAGCCACACCGGGACUGAGACACGGCCCGGACUCCUACGGGAGGCAGCAGUGGGGAAUAUUGGACAAUGGGGGCAACCCUGAUCCAGCCAUGCCGCGUGUGUGAAGAAGGCCUUUUGGUUGUAAAGCACUUUAAGCAGUGAAGAAGACCAUAUGGUUAAUACCCAUAUGCGAUGACAUUAGCUGCAGAAUAAGCACCGGCUAACUCUGUGCCAGCAGCCGCGGUAAUACAGAGGGUGCAAGCGUUAAUCGGAAUUACUGGGCGUAAAGCGAGCGUAGGUGGCUUGAUAAGUCAGAUGUGAAAUCCCCGGGCUUAACCUGGGAACUGCAUCUGAUACUGUCAGGCUAGAAUAGGUGAGAGGAAGGUAGAAUUCCAGGUGUAGCGGUGAAAUGCGUAGAGAUCUGGAGGAAUACCGAUGGCGAAGGCAGCCUUCUGGCAUCAUAUUGACACUGAGGUUCGAAAGCGUGGGUAGCAAACAGGAUUAG
RNAcentral lists this ribosomal RNA (720 nucleotides) under gamma proteobacterium GM60. RNAcentral describes it as "bacterial SSU rRNA". It matches the Rfam family "Bacterial small subunit ribosomal RNA", at positions 67 to 781 of the family's 1533-position model. The record is from RNAcentral. Lineage: Bacteria; Pseudomonadati; Pseudomonadota; Gammaproteobacteria.